CCAUGCUUCUCCUACCCAAGACGGACGGUGGUUAGAAUCUUCCCAAACACAGUGAGAAGGUAGUGUCUGCAACUUGGAAGACAGUUCUCACCAGCCCCUGACCCUACCAGCAUCUUGACUUCCAGACGUCAACCCCCAGAACUGAAAGAAAGAAAUUUUUGCUGUUUGAGCCACCGAGUCUGUAGAUGAAUUCGAGAGAUGAGAAGGAGCAAGAGAAAGAGAAUCUUCUAAGCAGAGAGAAGACAAUACGAAGAAAAGCAGUUUUUCCCCUGAGCCAAGUGGCCACCACAUGGACAAGCGGCAGAACCUGAGGCUUUGAUUUGUCACCAAGAGGAGGUGGUGCUGCUAGCUUCUAGGGAGUCAAGGAUGUGAGUGUUUCCAGUCUCUCCGCGAUCUACAGGACAGCCUCCUGCUCCAAACGUCAAGGAGUCAGAGGUAGAGAAUAACUUGCCCACACGUCCUAACAUCCCUGAGACUGUCCAGGUUCUUCAUCAUCUCCGUGUGACAGCUGACACCAGAGGCAGACAAAUGAGUGUCCUGCCCCAUGUCACCAGCUGAUAACAGAAGAUCAAGAUUCAGAUUCUGCCUGACUUGAAACCCUUGCGGGCCCAGUCACGUUCGAGAAGAGCAUGCUUCCAGCUGUUCUCACUCAGGGACACGGGGAGGACGCAUACAAAUAUUUACUUUGAUUUCUUAAGAAGGAAACUGUCCAGGAACAGCUUUUAGAUCGCUCUUUCCCAACUCUUUAAAUACUUGGUUAAAUAUUUAUCCAGCUGCCUUGCUGGGGUUGGAGUUGGAGCGCUAAACUUGCGCUAUGCUACUGCAGGGAAGCCUUCCCAGAAUGGGUAUGUGCUCGGUCCUCCCACUCCCUUUAUUCUAUAGGGAGAAAAUUAGGCCUGGCUUCGGGGAUUCCAGGAGUGUCACUCAACUAAGAAGUAGAGUGUACCCCCCCCCCCCAACUUUCUAACUUCCAGUUUUUGACAGAGAGGAAAUGAUUGAUGAUUUGCUAGAGAGCCAUCCAUGGAUCAAGGUCCUAGGGCAGAAGGGGGCACCCAAGGAGAGGGAGGAGUUAGAGAAGGAAAUGAUGAAGAGGAGGGUGAGUGAAGAAAGGAAAGACGGGAAGCUAGAGAAGCUGACUGCUUCUUCCAUCUGUAAGAGCUCCAGAGAGGAAAUCAAUACCGCCGAUAAUAUGUACCGUUAGUUCUCCCUCUUCCGCCUCUGCUUACUCAUGACUCGAGAAAGGAAGACCCUACCAAGGUUCUCAAAUCACUGAACAGCUAAAAAUCAGAGGAUGUGAAAGGAACGUGCUGGACAGGAGAGCAGAGGAAGCAGAGAAGGGAAGAGUCACAACUGGGAAGGCAGAGAAGGCAGAAGGAAGUAGACCAAAGAUGAAGGGACAGCAACUGAGGAUGCUUGAAAAAUAGUGGGGUAUCGGAAGGGGAUUUGCAUUAAGGAGCGUUUGUAUGAGAGUUACCUUCACCUCCAUCUUUCCACUAAGAUUUCAGUAAAACAUGUUUUCAGGA
Long non-coding RNA from Microtus oregoni (creeping vole), 1523 nucleotides. RefSeq lists it as uncharacterized. The record is from RefSeq and is a predicted model, not a curated record. The transcript is spliced from 3 exons. Lineage: Eukaryota; Metazoa; Chordata; Mammalia; Rodentia; Cricetidae.